Molecule: long non-coding RNA, 1193 nt
Organism: Oncorhynchus tshawytscha (Chinook salmon)
Lineage: Eukaryota; Metazoa; Chordata; Actinopteri; Salmoniformes; Salmonidae
Exons: 2
Source: RefSeq, a predicted model, not a curated record
GAGCUGUUUACUUCCUGGUUGCGCCAUGAGAAGACGAUAGCUGCGUCAAAGCUCCCAAACAAAAGUUUCACGUUGAGUAAAGUUCUGGAUAUGUUGGAUCUAGGUGACUGCCCAGACAAGGCAUGCAACAUUGCAGUUAUCCCUCAGAGAUUGUGAUAGCGGUGGGUCAGAUAUGGACUAUGAGGGGGAGACAGGCCAUUUGCCAGCCAGGCUGUUGAAUGUGUAUGCUGAACCUAUGCAAACAGAUCAUGACAGGAACAACGUUAUCAGUGAUGAUGACCUACCCCUCACUACCCCGCACUCUCCUCCCUGAGACUGGGUUGGGUCAUGGACCUCAAGGUUGCAAGUUCCUUCAUGACAACCUCUUCACUUUACUUGCACUCCUCAAUGAAAUGACAAAAAGAGGAUAUGGGAGAUCUGGAACGAUGAGACAAAAUCGUCUGUUUGAUGUCCCAUUCAAGCCACAGAAAGACUUCAUGAAGUUACUCUGGGAACCUCUGAGGUUUUGAGCCAAGGAGACAAGUUGCUGGUCCGUUAGAAAGACAAUAACAUUGUCACAGUGGCAACAAACAUGGAGGAGAAAUACAGUGAGACCUCUGUCAAGAGAUGGAACAAGGAGCGAUGUGCCUUUUGACAAAGUCCUACAACAAAAUGCAUCAACCGAUACAAUGAGCACAUGGGGGGUGUUGUUCUUCACAACCUACAGGUUUCAAGAUACUAUAUCUCCAUCAGUUCUAAGAAGUGGUGGUGGCCCAUCUUUGCAUGGUCUCUCAACAGUGCACUCGUAAACAUCCAUUUAUUUUACAGAGAUUAUAGGAGGGACAAUCGACCUGCUCACCUUCUCAUGGAUAGUGGCACAGUCUCUUAUGCAAAAGUUUGGCACGAGACCACUGAGCCACGGAAGGAGAUCUCUACUGGCUGCCACUGUUGAAAAUCAGGCAAGAUAUGACAAAGCUUCUCACUGGCCAAUCAACACGAUGCACCGGUUCCAGAGAUGUCGUCAUUGUGACAAACGCACUACCUAUGCAUGUGAGAAAUGCAAAGCGCCGCUGCACAUUGAGUGCUUCAAUAUAUACCAUGGACAGUAGAAAAGGCGUUCAGAGCGAAUGAAAAAGGGCUGAAAAGGCCAAUAAAAAAACAAAUGUGAAAAGUCAAUAAAGGGUGAGGAGAAGCAGUACCACGGACUCUAGGAA